RNAcentral lists this ribosomal RNA (735 nucleotides) under Achromobacter sp. 111117_136_C_C11. RNAcentral's name for it is "bacterial SSU rRNA". It matches the Rfam family "Bacterial small subunit ribosomal RNA", at positions 18 to 748 of the family's 1533-position model. Lineage: Bacteria; Pseudomonadati; Pseudomonadota; Betaproteobacteria; Burkholderiales; Alcaligenaceae. The record is from RNAcentral.
UAUGGCUCAGAUUGAACGCUAGCGGGAUGCCUUACACAUGCAAGUCGAACGGCAGCACGGACUUCGGUCUGGUGGCGAGUGGCGAACGGGUGAGUAAUGUAUCGGAACGUGCCUAGUAGCGGGGGAUAACUACGCGAAAGCGUAGCUAAUACCGCAUACGCCCUACGGGGGAAAGCAGGGGAUCGCAAGACCUUGCACUAUUAGAGCGGCCGAUAUCGGAUUAGCUAGUUGGUGGGGUAACGGCUCACCAAGGCGACGAUCCGUAGCUGGUUUGAGAGGACGACCAGCCACACUGGGACUGAGACACGGCCCAGACUCCUACGGGAGGCAGCAGUGGGGAAUUUUGGACAAUGGGGGAAACCCUGAUCCAGCCAUCCCGCGUGUGCGAUGAAGGCCUUCGGGUUGUAAAGCACUUUUGGCAGGAAAGAAACGUCAUGGGCUAAUACCCCGUGAAACUGACGGUACCUGCAGAAUAAGCACCGGCUAACUACGUGCCAGCAGCCGCGGUAAUACGUAGGGUGCAAGCGUUAAUCGGAAUUACUGGGCGUAAAGCGUGCGCAGGCGGUUCGGAAAGAAAGAUGUGAAAUCCCAGAGCUUAACUUUGGAACUGCAUUUUUAACUACCGAGCUAGAGUGUGUCAGAGGGAGGUGGAAUUCCGCGUGUAGCAGUGAAAUGCGUAGAUAUGCGGAGGAACACCGAUGGCGAAGGCAGCCUCCUGGGAUAACACUGACGCUC